RNAcentral lists this ribosomal RNA (501 nucleotides) under uncultured bacterium. RNAcentral's name for it is "partial 16S ribosomal RNA". It matches the Rfam family "Bacterial small subunit ribosomal RNA", at positions 30 to 523 of the family's 1533-position model. The record is from RNAcentral.
AUUGAACGCUGGCGGCAGGCUUGACACAUGCAAGUCGAGCGGGGGAAGGUAGCUUGCUACUGGACCUAGCGGCGGACGGGUGAGUAAUGCUUAGGAAUCUGCCCAUUAGUGGGGGACAACAUCUCGAAAGGGAUGCUAAUACCGCAUACGUCCUACGGGAGAAAGCAGGGGAACUUCGGACCUUGCACGAAUAGAUGAGCCUAAGUCGGAUUAGCUAGUUGGUGGGGUAAAGGCCUACCAAGGCGACGAUCUGUAGCGGGUCUGAGAGGAUGUUCCGCCCCACUGGGACUUAGAAACGGCCCAGACUCCUACGGGAGGCAGCAGUGGGGAAUAUUGGACAAUGGGGGGAACCCUGAUCCAGCCAUGCCGCGUGUGUGAAGAAGGCCUUAUGGUUGUAAAGCACUUUAAGCGAGGAGGAGGCUACUUUAGUUAAUACCUAGAGAUAGUGGACGUUACUCGCAGAAUAAGCACCGGCUAACUCUGUGCCAGCCGCCGCCGUAA